Delphinapterus leucas (beluga whale) is the source of this 1673-nucleotide non-coding RNA. Lineage: Eukaryota; Metazoa; Chordata; Mammalia; Artiodactyla; Monodontidae. The record is from RefSeq and is a predicted model, not a curated record.
CACUCUUUAUCUCUGCCUUUUGGCUAUCACCUAAUUAGCACACAGGCUUCCUGCAUGCCACCUAUACCUGCCUGUUUCGAGGGGUAAAGGAAGCUACAUUCAAGGUAUUCUGUCUUUUUGAGGAUUCUGUGAGAGAUGUUUUUAUAACUCCUUUUUACAAGAUUUUGCUAAUGACCUGGUGGUAAUUGUUAGCAGAUUAACAAGGGUCAAGGUUUUUGCUUUGUAUGUGGAUCUAUUGUUGGUUGGAGCUCACCUUCGUCUGUUAAGCCAUAGAGCAUCAUUCAGAUUCCAGUUUUAGCUUUGUUGAGUGGUGAGAGAACUUAAAGACAUGUGCAUGCCUGGAGUGGAGCAACGCCACCACUAUCACAAGAUGAAACAAGCAUGAGAUUGAGGAGUGCCUUGGUGAAGCAACAUUCUGCUUUAUUUUCUUUGCCCUUCAGAUAAUGACUCUGGGGAAGGAAGAGAAACUCCAGAACUACUUUGUUCUCUUCAAAGACUGAGCCUCAGGAGAAAAAAAGUCUCAGGGCCAGGAUCUGAACCCAGGGAGUCUGGUACUGAGGAGAACUUUAUCUGCCUUCUAAUGUAUGAUGUGAACACACCAGUAAGGGCUACGAUCAGUCUCCAUCUCCUAAAAUUGUGCCACUCACCAGAUGCACUGACAUCACCUGGGAGCUUAUGAAAAAUGCAGCAUCUCAACCUCACCCCAGACCUACCAAAUUUUAAUUUGCAUUUUAAGAAGAUCCCCAGGUAAGUAGCAUGUAAAGUUUGGGAAACACAAGCCUCAAGCAUUAUUUCUGGGAUCAUAUAUAUACUUUUUGUGUGAUAUAGGGAGGAAAACAAUCAGGAUUUUUAGAUCUCAAAGGGAUAAAGAUUUAGAGACAAUGCAGUUCAAUCUCUUCCUUUUAUAAUUGUUGAAAAUAAGUUACAUGGCGGUUAAAUAUGUAUUUAAGAAUAAAUAAAUUCUUAAGAAUUCAAUAAAGAUUUUUUGAGGGUCUGUCACGUUCUAGACUAUAUGCCAAGUGGGCUGGGGAUACAAAGGCACAUAAAUCAUAUCCCCUGGGAGCCAAAUGGAAGAUACAAAUAAAGUGCAUGAGAUUUAUAGGUGCUAUGAUAGAACCAUAUAUCUAUAUCUAUAUCUAUAUCUAUCUAUCUAUAUAUAUACUGUGUAUAAUAGAGCACAGAGGAACAAAGAGGUUGGGUUGGGAAUCAGGAAAGACAUUAUUACAGACAUAGUAUUGGAGCUGAGUCUUGAAAGAUUAAUAGGUAUUAACCAAAGGCACUAGAAUUUGAGCCUUUUCAUUUGCAACUAGGCCAAUGAACAUCAUCAUUCAGGGCCACAAGUUAUUCAGAGAAAGGAGAUAUUUAGAGGAGUGAAUCUCAAACUUGGCUUCACAUAGAAUUACCUGGAGAACUUUCAGAAUGCCUAUUCAUGGCUCCACCUUCAGAGUUACUGAUUUAGUUAGUCUGGGAGGAGAUCUGGACAUUCGUUUCUUUGUUUGUUUAUGUUCUGCAGAUGCCUCUAGGGUCCACACAAGGCUAUUAUAGUUCUUUUGUGCUUGGUUUCCCUCUUAUUCUCUGGAUCUUCUGACCAUUUCAUCUGGUUCCUGACCCAGCUUUCGGCCCUAGACUUCAGACCCACCCUUGUCAUGAAUCGCAACUUGUUACCCCUUGGA